Molecule: ribosomal RNA, 967 nt
Filed under: bacterium
Lineage: Bacteria
Description: bacterial SSU rRNA
Rfam family: Bacterial small subunit ribosomal RNA
Source: RNAcentral
CAUGUAGAGAGUUUGAUUCUAGCUCAGGAUGAACGCUGGCGGCGUGGAUAAGGCAUGCAAGUCGCGCGAUCUGGCUUUUGCCAGGUAGCGGCAAACGAGUUAGUAACACGUGGAUACGCACCCUGAAGACGGGCAUAAUCCGCCGAAAGGCGGACUAAUUCCCGAUAGUUCCCGUAAGGGUAAAGGAGCAAUUCGCUUCAGGAGCGGUCCGCGGCCUAUCAGCUUGUUGGUGGGGUAAUAGCCCACCAAGGCGAUGACGGGUAGGGGAGGUGAGAGCCUGUUCCCCAACGCGGGUACUGAGACACGGACCUGACACCUACGGGUGGCCGCAGUCGAGAAUAUUGGACAAUGGGGGAAACCCUGAUCCAGCGACGCCGCGUGCGGGAUGAAGGCCUUCGGGUUGUAAACCGCUUUUAUAGAGGAAGAACCCCGCCCCAAUUUUGCGUCUGAAUAAAAAGCGAAGCGCGAGUUGCGAAUAGCAACACCCCUUUCAUGGGCGCAGCGCUUCGCCCCAGACAGGAUGCACCUAUUCGGUGCACGCACUGCGCUGGUAAUUCGGAGGCAAAAUUGGAGUGGGGUGACGGUACUCUACGAAUAAGGGGGUGCUAACUCUGUGCCAGCAGCCGCGGUAAAACAGAGCCCCCGAGCGUUAUCCGGAUUUAUUGGGCGUAAAGCGUCUGUAGCCGGUCUGGAAAGUCUUUUGUUAAAUACCAAGGGCUCAACCUUUGGAAUGCAAAGGAAACUUCCAGACUCGAGGAUGUUAGGGGUUGAUGGAACUCUUGGUGGAGGGGUGGAAUCCGUUGAUAUCAAGAGGAACACCAAAAGCGAAGGCAUUCAACUGGAACAGUCCUGACGGUGAGAGACGAAAGCGUGGGGAGCAAAAAGGAUUAGAUACCCUUGUAGUCCACGCUGUAAACGAUGGAUACUAGCUAUGUGAAGUGUCGACCCUUCACGUGGCGAAGCUAAC